Alosa sapidissima (American shad) is the source of this 3177-nucleotide long non-coding RNA. RefSeq lists it as uncharacterized. NCBI's taxonomy places the organism in Eukaryota, Metazoa, Chordata, Actinopteri, Clupeiformes, Clupeidae. The transcript has 3 exons. The record is from RefSeq and is a predicted model, not a curated record.
CCUGCUGGGGACAGAGAUGCUCAUUAACGGCCACAUGCACACCAAGUUCAAAAAUUUCAUCCGAAAUUAUUGUCACAAUUUUAAAAUACAACCUCAGGUUGUGUCAAUCAUGAUAACACACGGCAUCUUUGAAACUUUAUUUGAAACCUAUUGUUUACAUUUUUGGAACGCGUUUGACUUUAUGGGUACGAGUUUGACAGCAGACUAUUUUGCCGACAGUGCAUACAUACGCACUGUGGCCAGAGCGAAGUGAGACGCAAGUCGAAGUUAAGUAAGUCGAAGUUAAGUAAUAAACAUAGAUCAGAAUUUAAUAUUGGUUGCAUGUGAUUGGUUUAUUCGAUUUCAGUACACUGGAAAGGUCUCGUCCAUUUCAGAGUCCCAGCCUUGACGUAGCUUCCUGUUACCUAUAUCGCUGCCGAACUGUUUUUAUCGUGUACUUGUGUAGUGUCAAUGAAUGAGCUUUCCUAUAGCAGUGUUUUUUAUCCAAUCGAAGUUAAAGUUGAUAUUUAGCAGAUGCUUUAAUCCAAAGCAUCACUGACUCGCAAUGGCAGAUUUGGGAAUUGAACAUGGGUCGACCGAUCAUCAGCCGGUGACCCCUCUACAACUUCAGAGUAGAUAUUUUACGACACUCCUCGCUCGGUCAGUCUACUUUGUCCUCUUUCCCUGUUCCUCUGACAACGGUUGACUCACUUUCUGCUUCUUUUCACCGGAUCUGUCUGAGAAACUCCAGCGCUACCUUGUUCUAGCUGGUGCCUGGCACAUGUUUGUAGUGGCGUAAAGCAAUUUGUUACAUCGUGAGACAGCGAGACUUGAGACGCGGACCAAGGGUGGUUUUUCCCCACAGCGAGAAGGCCACCAUUCAACCCGGAAAAAGUCAUAUAACCAUCCCAAUGACCCCGAAGCUGUUAUGGUUAAGGUAAAUUAAGCUAAAAAAAACAGCAUAGUUCCCCUUUAACUUUGUGUGUGAGGAGGCCUUAUAAAAUACCAUGAGAAUAACAGGCUAGUUGACAUGUGAAUGCAACAUAUGCAGAUGGGGGAAGUUCCUUUACAAAGCUUUGCCUCGCCUACACCCCCACGACCCCCACCCCCUUCAUUCAGAGCUAUUAAGCUGAGGUGCAGCCAUUUCCGAAAGUCCUUUCUGCCAUGAUUCCGUGAUAGAGGUCAGGACCAACACCCUUAUCAACCAGGGGCGCGUCUCCCAAAACCAUAGUAUUAGUUAGCAACUUUGUUGGUUGCAAUGCAAUUUCCCAUUGUCAACCAACUAAGUUGCUAACAGGUUAGCAACUAUGGAUUUGGGAAACGCACCCCUGGGUUGUGGUUCAUCGAAACAUUAUAUCAUCCAAGGUUGCUUGGGGCUGGGUAGUGGAUUGGUUAAGGAGCUAGCAUGCGGUCAAAAGUUGUGGGUUUAAUUCCUGGCUUCCACCGCUGUGCCCUUGAGCAAGGCACUUAAGUUGCUCCGGGGUCAAUGUAAUCCCUUGAAAUAUAGCUGACAUAUAUAAAUCAGUUUGGACAACAGUGUCUGCUAAAUGAAUAAAUGUAAAUGCAAUAUUGUAGCAAAGAGCUUUGCCUCAAGACUCAACAUGUCUGGGUUACUGCCUUAAAAUGGACAGUCUAGUCUACUUUAUUUUUCAAAACUAGGCUACACAAUGCCAGGUCUGAAUGUGUCUGUUACAGCGAAAAGGUAAAAGACAAGCCAACCCUUUAUGCCAUCCUUUAGUGGUUGGUAUUAAUUUGCAUUGACAAGAUGAUACUACACCACAAGGCACACCAAUCGGAUGUCCAUGGUUUAUAAAACUCUUCUUUGGCGAGCCACCCUGUUAUCUCCACGUCCAACGAGCCUCACCCCGUCCUAUCUCGCCAGUCAGCAGAGCAGAAGCCGACACUGGGCUGACUGACACAUAGCUCUGGUCAUCUAUCUACUGUAUGUCAUUGAGACCACAAGGGAACAAUAUCCCAUCUAUCAGUGGCCUGGCCUGGCCUGAAAGCAAAAGACAGAGAGUUAAACUAAGCCUAGUAGGUCUAUCUGUACUUGGUCUAAGUGCUAGAUUGAGCAGCACACCUUUUUUAUGAAAGUUUAAAUGUUUCUUUUUUUGUUUUCACCCAAACAUUUUGAUUAAUAAGCUUCCUGUCUCCCUUAUUAGUGAGGCUAGUUUCAUUACCAUCUCUCCGUGCACUGGGUAGCACUCAAAGUCUUCUUUGCUAGCAUGAUUAAGGAAGGUGGUCUAAGCGUCCUGAUACACAACAGCACACAACUGACACAGCAAGUCAGAACAGUCGCUUUGGUGUUCCUUCAUCUGACGGCAGCCUCCAGGCACGGCCACUGCGUCCACAACAAGUCACUGCGGAGAAAACUCCAGCUUUAAAAACAAUGCGUAUGCAUGAUGAUGAUGAUGCAUGCAUACGUCUGCCCUGCCCACCGUCAUGAUUUUGUCACGGACUGCAAAGUCUGCUUCAACUGCAGGGGAGGCACUCAAGAGACCGUGUACUUGACAUCUCAGCCUGCUAAUGCAGAUGGACACCAAGAGCCUCAACAGCAGCAAUCACGCCUACUCUCUCCUCCACUGUUCCUGUGAACUGGAUCAACAUGGCAGAGCUGCGCACGAAAUUUUUAGUCAUCAUAACCGGAAGACACCUCUGAAGCUUGACAACAGCACUGACCAAUGAGGGGAACGAUUUUUUGCGACUGAUCACCUAACCUGCAAUAUGGGAAAGGAUAACUUGUGCAUUAAUGCAGGAUAUCCGAGCCUUGCCCGUAUAUGGGCUAGCUCGAUGUCACGACAUGUAAUUACACAUUCACAAUAAGGCGACAGGUAAUAAAACGUGGCUAGGACGCAAUAUUACAAUCAAUACACCCAUCUCAGCUUAAUUCUAUGUCAGGGUACUGUGACAGUAAGUCAUUGGUUUAAAAUAAGCGACGUAGCAGGCUUAACGUUACAGCUAGCUAACGUUAGCUGGCAUCCAAAGCCCUGCUCUGUUCAAGGUAGGCUGCACAAUAAAACCUACCUGUUUCUCCUCUCCGGACUCCAAUGGCGCCUCGGACUCUUGAUUCUCUGACGACAUGUUUCUACUUGGGAAACGGUAAAGCGCCUUUUCGUCGCCUGAAAAAGGGAGCUUUUAUAUAUACUCUGCCCUCAGCCCACGGCACUCCUGUACAAUAUUCCUAUUCUUAUUCCAAAA